GUAGUUUGUCUGGCAUCGCUGUGAACGUGCGUCUUUGUGGAUAUGUUCCUGAACGUAUAGAGCUCUGGCAAGGCAAGCCUCGUCAUUACAACGCCUGCAAGAAUCUGGACAUCAAAAACUGUGGUGCAAGUUUAAUGUUAGGACAUGGAGUAGCUAGUGUUGUGUGUGUGUGUGUGUGUGUGUGUGCGCGGUGUUGCGCAACGUCUGACUGGGGCUUUCGAGCUACGCAUACAAGUUCGGAUCCUUGGUUGCAGAAACUUGGUCCGCGAUCAGUUCCCAUCUACAGUGGACUGGAAUG
Ornithodoros turicata is the source of this 298-nucleotide long non-coding RNA. RefSeq lists it as uncharacterized. The transcript is spliced from 3 exons. NCBI's taxonomy places the organism in Eukaryota, Metazoa, Arthropoda, Arachnida, Ixodida, Argasidae. The record is from RefSeq and is a predicted model, not a curated record.